AUUGAACGCUGGCGGCAUGCCUUACACAUGCAAGUCGAACGGUAACAGGUCUUCGGAUGCUGACGAGUGGCGAACGGGUGAGUAAUACAUCGGAACGUGCCUAGUAGUGGGGGAUAACUACUCGAAAGAGUGGCUAAUACCGCAUGAGAUCUACGGAUGAAAGCAGGGGAUCGCAAGACCUUGUGCUACUAGAGCGGCCGAUGGCAGAUUAGGUAGUUGGUGGGAUAAAAGCUUACCAAGCCGACGAUCUGUAGCUGGUCUGAGGGGACGAUCAGCCAAACUGGGACUGGGACACGGCCCAGACUCCUACGGGAGGCAGCAGUGGGGAAUUUUGGACAAUGGGCGCAAGCCUGAUCCAGAAAUGCCGCGUGCAGGAUGAAGGCCUUCGGGUUGUAAACUGCUUUUGUACGGAACGAAAAGCCCUGGGUUAAUACCCUGGGGUCAUGACGGUACCGUAAGAAUAAGCACCGGCUAACUACGUGCCAGCAGCCGCCGUAA
Molecule: ribosomal RNA, 498 nt
Filed under: uncultured bacterium
Lineage: Bacteria
Description: partial 16S ribosomal RNA
Rfam family: Bacterial small subunit ribosomal RNA
Source: RNAcentral